GUUAUUUUACUUACUCCG
This 18-nucleotide small nuclear RNA is filed under the name Arabidopsis thaliana (thale cress). RNAcentral's name for it is "snRNA_03871". Lineage: Eukaryota; Viridiplantae; Streptophyta; Magnoliopsida; Brassicales; Brassicaceae. The record is from RNAcentral.